Molecule: ribosomal RNA, 497 nt
Filed under: uncultured bacterium
Lineage: Bacteria
Description: partial 16S ribosomal RNA
Rfam family: Bacterial small subunit ribosomal RNA
Source: RNAcentral
GAUGAACGCUGGCGGCGUGCCUAAUACAUGCAAGUCGAGCGAACAGACGAGGAGCUUGCUCCUCUGACGUUAGCGGCGGACGGGUGAGUAACACGUGGAUAACCUACCUAUAAGACUGGGAUAACUUCGGGAAACCGGAGCUAAUACCGGAGAAUAUAUUGAACCGCAUGGUUCAAUAGUGAAAGACGGUUUUGCUGUCACUUAUAGAUGGAUCCGCGCCGCAUUAGCUAGUUGGUAAGGUAACGGCUUACCAAGGCAACGAUGCGUAGCCGACGUGAGAGGGUGAUCGGCCACACUGGAACUGAGACACGGUCCAGACUCCUACGGGAGGCAGCAGUAGGGAAUCUUCCGCAAUGGGCGAAAGCUUGACGGAGCAACGCCGCGUGAGUGAUGAAGGUCUUCGGAUCGUAAAACUCUGUUAUUGGGGAAGAACAAAUGUGUAAGUAACUAUGCACGUCUUGACGGUGCCGAAUCAGAAAGCCCCGGCUAACUACGUG